AGAUGUAGAAUUGGAACAAAUGGGUCAUUCCGUGUGAAAUCAGAUAAGGUUGUUGCAGCAUCGCCUCAGAUUUUGUUCAAACCUUGUUUAUAUCAA
Molecule: long non-coding RNA, 96 nt
Organism: Alosa sapidissima (American shad)
Lineage: Eukaryota; Metazoa; Chordata; Actinopteri; Clupeiformes; Clupeidae
Exons: 3
Source: RefSeq, a predicted model, not a curated record